UACGGAGGGUGCAAACGUUGCUCGGAAUUAUUGGGCGUAAAGCGCACGUAGGCGGACCAUCAAGUCGGAUGUGAAAUCCCUCGGCUUAACCGAGGACGUGCACUCGAUACUGAUGGUCUUGAGUACGAAAGAGGAUCGCGGAAUUCCCGGUGUAGAGGUGAAAUUCGUAGAUAUCGGGAGGAACACCGGUGGCGAAGGCGGCUUCCUGGACCGACACUGACGCUGAGGCGCGAAAGCUAGGGGAGCAAACGGG
This 253-nucleotide ribosomal RNA is filed under the name uncultured bacterium. Its description in RNAcentral is "partial 16S ribosomal RNA". It matches the Rfam family "Bacterial small subunit ribosomal RNA", at positions 524 to 776 of the family's 1533-position model. The record is from RNAcentral.